RNAcentral lists this ribosomal RNA (253 nucleotides) under uncultured bacterium. Its description in RNAcentral is "partial 16S ribosomal RNA". It matches the Rfam family "Bacterial small subunit ribosomal RNA", at positions 524 to 776 of the family's 1533-position model. The record is from RNAcentral.
UACGGAGGGUGCAAGCGUUGCUCGGAAUCACUGGGCGUAAAGGGUGCGUAGGCGGCCGCGCAAGUCUGGCGUGAAAGCCCCGGGCUCAGCCCGGGAAGGGCGCUCGAAACGGCGCGGCUCGAGUGCCGGAGGGGAGAGUAGAAUUCCUGGUGUAGCGGUGAAAUGCGUAGAUAUCAGGAGGAAUACCGGUGGCGAAAGCGACUCUCUGGACGGCAACUGACGCUGAGGCACGAAAGCGUGGGGAGCAAACAGG